GGGCUUGUACUGGUUUCGACGGGGGCUAUGAAGCUGGUGAAGCUAUCCGCAUGCAAUGCGUUAAAUGGCAAACCUAAAUAUAAACGCUAACGACGAAUUAGCAAUCGCAGCCUAAUUUAGGCGGCUGUCGGCCUACUGGCACCUGCACCUUUAGCAACCGGCAUCAUUAAAUGCAGGAAACGACACGUGCAAAGCUUUGAGCACGCGGGCGUAUGAUGAAGCUACCGAGCGCAGUCGGCUGUCUGUUUCCGGCUGCAGGAGGGAAUGAAACCAUAACAGACUAUGAUAGUAGAAGAACAGGGAAUUGGUUUUCGGACAGGGGUUCGAUUCCCCUCAGGUCCAUC
This 344-nucleotide transfer-messenger RNA is filed under the name pig gut metagenome. It matches the Rfam family "transfer-messenger RNA". Rfam says of the family: Bacterial tmRNA, also known as 10Sa RNA or SsrA, is named for its dual tRNA and mRNA-like properties. Its role is to liberate the mRNA from a stalled ribosome. The record is from RNAcentral.